This 86-nucleotide transfer RNA is filed under the name Yarrowia sp. B02. Its description in RNAcentral is "tRNA-Leu". It matches the Rfam family "tRNA". Rfam says of the family: Transfer RNA (tRNA) molecules are approximately 80 nucleotides in length. The record is from RNAcentral. RNAcentral also lists the same sequence under 2 other names. Lineage: Eukaryota; Fungi; Ascomycota; Dipodascomycetes; Dipodascales.
GGUAUCCUGGCCGAGCGGUCUAAGGCGCCAGGUUAAGGCUUUUCCUGGUCUCUUCGGAGGCGUGAGUUCGAAUCUCACGGAUAUCA